UCAAAUUCCUCUUGAGAAGAAAUUUGGUUUUGUUCGAAUUGGAUUGGUGUAUGUGAUAUCGGGUUUGGGAGGAAAUUUGCUGUGUGUUUUAUUCCUCCAUUCAAUCAUCUACGUUGGUGCAUCUGGUGCAAUAUUCGGCUUACUAGGAGUGAUGCUAUCAGAGCUUUUAACAAAUUGGAAAAUGCAUACUCAUAAGUUUGAUGAGAUGUUGAUUCUUGUUGUGAUCAUUGUUUUGGACUUAGCUCUUGGAACUUUUCCAUUUGGAAGUAAUUUUAGUAACAUUUGAGGGUUUACAUCAGGAUUUCUUCUUGGAUUUGUCAUUUUGACUCGCCGUCAGCAUCAUUGGCUUAAUCUAAACAAGUCUAAUACUUCCCAGAAGCAAGAAUCUUAUCAAUAUGCGCUUCGGAUUAUCUCUUUUGUGCUACUUAGUGUUGGAUUGGUCGGCGGCGGCGUCUUGUUCUUUAAAGGGGUGGACUUGAAUGAUUACUGCUCUUGGUGCCAUUAUAUAACCUGUGCCCCUCCGAGCUGUAAACCAGGCUACAUUUCUUGUGAGGUGAGUGAUGCUGCUAUGCUACUUCCUUAUGUAUUUGC
Lathyrus oleraceus (garden pea) is the source of this 591-nucleotide long non-coding RNA. RefSeq lists it as uncharacterized. The record is from RefSeq and is a predicted model, not a curated record. The transcript has 4 exons. NCBI's taxonomy places the organism in Eukaryota, Viridiplantae, Streptophyta, Magnoliopsida, Fabales, Fabaceae.